RNAcentral lists this ribosomal RNA (923 nucleotides) under Agrocybe chaxingu. RNAcentral describes it as "partial large subunit ribosomal RNA". It matches the Rfam family "Eukaryotic large subunit ribosomal RNA", at positions 70 to 961 of the family's 3401-position model. Lineage: Eukaryota; Fungi; Basidiomycota; Agaricomycetes; Agaricales; Agrocybaceae. The record is from RNAcentral.
CAGGAUUCCCCUAGUAACUGCGAGUGAAGCGGGAAAAGCUCAAAUUUGAAAUCUGGCGGUCCUUUGCGGCCGUCCGAGUUGUAAUCUAGAGAAGUGCUACCCGCGCUGGACCGUGUACAAGUCUCCUGGAAUGGAGCGUCACAGAGGGUGAGAAUCCCGUCUUUGACACGGACUGCCAGGGCUUAUGUGGUGCGCUCUCGAAGAGUCGAGUUGUUUGGGAAUGCAGCUCUAAAUGGGUGGUAAAUUCCAUCUAAAGCUAAAUACAGGCGAGAGACCGAUAGCGAACAAGUACCGUGAGGGAAAGAUGAAAAGAACUUUGGAAAGAGAGUUAAACAGUACGUGAAAUUGCUGAAAGGGAAACGUUUGAAGUCAGUCGCGUUGGCUGGGGAUCAACCUUGCUCUUGCAGGGCGCACUCUCUGGCUCGACGGGUCAGCAUCAGUUUCGGCCGCUGGAGAAAGGCUAGGGGAAUGUGGCAUCGCUUCGGUGAUGUGUUAUAGCCCUUGGUCGUAUGCAGCGGCUGGGACUGAGGAACUCAGCCUGCCCUUAACUGGGCCGGGUCUUUUUGACCACGCUUAACGGGCUUAGGAUGCUGGCAUAAUGGCUUUAAGCGACCCGUCUUGAAACACGGACCAAGGAGUCUAACAUGCUUGCGAGUGUUUGGGUGGAAAACCCGAGCGCGUAAUGAAAGUGAAAGUUGGGAACCCUGUCGUGGGGUGCACCGACGCCCGGACCAGACCUUCUUGCGACGGCUCCGCGGUAGAGCAGGCAUGUUGGGACCCGAAAGAUGGUGAACUAUGCCUGAAUAGGGUGAAGCCAGAGGAAACUCUGGUGGAGGCUCGUAGCGAUUCUGACGUGCAAAUCGAUCGUCAAAUUUGGGUAUAGGGGCGAAAGACUAAUCGAACAUCUAGUAGCUGGUCUGCGG